Molecule: ribosomal RNA, 250 nt
Filed under: uncultured bacterium
Lineage: Bacteria
Description: partial 16S ribosomal RNA
Rfam family: Bacterial small subunit ribosomal RNA
Source: RNAcentral
UACGGAGGGUGCGAGCGUUAUCCGGAAUUACUGGGUUUAAAGGGUGCGUAGGCGGCUAUGUAAGUCAGGAGUGAAAGUUUGCGGCUCAACCGUAAAAUUGCUUUUGAUACUGCAUGGCUAGAAUUAGGUUGAGGUUAGCGGAAUGUGGCAUGUAGCGGUGAAAUGCAUAGAUAUGCCAUAGAACACCAAUUGCGAAGGCAGCUGACUAGACCUGGAUUGACGCUGAGGCACGAAAGCGUGGGGAGCGAAC